Molecule: ribosomal RNA, 244 nt
Filed under: uncultured bacterium
Lineage: Bacteria
Description: partial 16S ribosomal RNA
Rfam family: Bacterial small subunit ribosomal RNA
Source: RNAcentral
GAUGAACGUUGGCGGCGUGCCUAACACAUGCAAGUCGAACGCUAGUAGCAAUAUUAGAGUGGCGCACGGGUGAGUAACACGUAGCUUAUCUACCUCCCAGCGCGGGAUAACGGUUCGAAAGAACUGCUAAUACCGCAUAAGCUCACGAGCUAUAGAGGCUGGUGAGAAAAGGCUUAGGUCACUGGGGAGCGGGGGCUGCGGCCCAUCAGCUAGUUGGUGAGGAACGGCUUACCAAGGCGACGAC